CAGGGGAUAGUUUAAAUAAAAUAUUAAUUUUGGAGAUUAAUGAUGAAGGGAAGAUCUCCCCUGA
This 64-nucleotide transfer RNA is filed under the name Prosopocoilus bulbosus mandibularis. RNAcentral's name for it is "tRNA-Pro". The record is from RNAcentral. Lineage: Eukaryota; Metazoa; Arthropoda; Insecta; Coleoptera; Lucanidae.